UUAGACUUUUUUCUCUUUUCCUUUUAGCAGAGCAGCACCUUCUUUUCUUUCUUUUUUCUAUUUUUAGAGUGUUCCAAAACUUUUUCAACUCAAAAUCAAAGAAGGUUUCACCAUUUUGAAGUAAUGUCUGAAGAUUUAUGACCAAAUCACGUGAAGAUCAAGUGGAGCCUACUACGUUUGAAUUUCAAAAUACUCCAAAUUCCCACUCAGCAAAUUCCUUGUUUCGUCCUAUAAAUUGGACUCUUUGUACUCGUUCUAGGGAGGUUUUUUUUCUUCACCCCUGCACAUGAAAACAACUACUUCUUCUCUUGAAAUUUUAGUUUUCUUUGCACUAGUUAAUUUGCUAAAAGCUCCAAGUAUUUAGAUCUGUUGCAAAAUCUCGAAUAUGAGCAUAGUUCGUAUUUGAGUGUGAUUUGGAGACCGAAAAUCCCCAUUCAUUGCCCCACAAUAGCAAAAAAUGAGUCUCUUCGAAAGACUCUCACUGCCGUAUGGUCUCUUGCUGCCACUAGACAUUGAAAAUGUGCAUCAUCUCUUUCACUCUGUGCUUCCGCUUCCUCGAAACCCAUACAAGAGCAAGCAAAUCUGGAAAAUUACUCCUCUCAUUUGUUUUAAUCGCUACUACUUAUAUUAUGUUUGCUUUUAUUAAUGAUACCUGAGAACCUAUAUUAUGUGACGUUUUUCUUGCUCUUUGAUUGC
Molecule: long non-coding RNA, 696 nt
Organism: Solanum dulcamara
Lineage: Eukaryota; Viridiplantae; Streptophyta; Magnoliopsida; Solanales; Solanaceae
Exons: 2
Source: RefSeq, a predicted model, not a curated record